CCACCUCAUGGUGUCCGGAAGAUGCCAUGCACUGGUGCCACUGCAUCCUGCUGCCACGAGCUGUGUGCUUGCAGCAGCGUCACCUGAAGAGAUGAUUCCAAUGUCGAACACCUGAGCACGGCCCCUCUGUCCUCAACACUGUGCCCUGCCCUCCGGCUCCUGCCUUGGGAUUUGCUCCAAGAUGUUAUGUAACAGAAGUCACUGGGAGGUAAAAGCUGCUGCAGGGUGCCCAGCCCAUGGAAAAGGGAAUGGAGGGGCUGAGGGCAGCACUGGCACAUGUGUCCUGUGGCUCUGCGGUGGGCUUUGGCUCCAGGGCAUGGCAGUAAGCCAUGACCCAGGCAACUCCAGGCCUCUCUGGACUCUCGUGGAGGCUGUUGGACCCAGAGGUCAUCCUGACACCCUGCUCCAAGACAGCCGCUGGCUUCGGCAAUACACACGGUGAUGUUAAUUUUGAUUUGGAGUGUGCAGUAACGAGCAAGCAGUGUGAUUAAUGCAUAAAGCUGACAGAAUGCACAGGCAUCUUCAAAGAAGCAGAGUGUAAGAGGUCAAGAAGGGUGUGUGGGGUGAAAUGAUGUUUCAGAAGCAGAAAGCGUGCCUGGCUGACUCAUGAGCUGAACUGUGCAAUAAUCACAGGUAAUUAUUGCACACCAGCCAUCAGAGUAUCUGCAUGCACGCCACACCGACCUGCACCACAGUUCCCAUUUUGGCUCUGGCAUGCUCUGUUCACUGCUCAAAACAGAGAUGAGGAGUCAUUUCUACCCAGAGCCAAUAUUCAGGUUUUCUCCAUCCUGUCACAGAGGACACAUUGAGAUGUACCCUGC
Long non-coding RNA from Gallus gallus (chicken), 821 nucleotides. The record is from Ensembl. Lineage: Eukaryota; Metazoa; Chordata; Aves; Galliformes; Phasianidae.